Molecule: non-coding RNA, 117 nt
Filed under: Nomascus leucogenys (northern white-cheeked gibbon)
Lineage: Eukaryota; Metazoa; Chordata; Mammalia; Primates; Hylobatidae
Source: Rfam by way of RNAcentral
GCUGGGUGUGAUGGCUCACACCUGUAAUCCUAGCACUUUGGGAGGCCGAGGUGGGUGGAUCACCUGAGGCCAGGAGCUCGAGAUCAGCCUGACCAACAUGGAGAAACCCCAUCUCUA